UACGAAGGGGGCUAGCGUUGCUCGGAAUCACUGGGCGUAAAGCGCACGUAGGCGGAUUGUUAAGUCGGGGGUGAAAUCCUGGAGCUCAACUCCAGAACUGCCUUCGAUACUGGCGAUCUUGAGUCCGGGAGAGGUGAGUGGAACUGCGAGUGUAGAGGUGAAAUUCGUAGAUAUUCGCAAGAACACCAGUGGCGAAGGCGGCUCACUGGCCCGAUACUGACGCUGAGGUGCGAAAGCGUGGGGAGCAAACAGG
This 253-nucleotide ribosomal RNA is filed under the name uncultured bacterium. RNAcentral describes it as "partial 16S ribosomal RNA". It matches the Rfam family "Bacterial small subunit ribosomal RNA", at positions 524 to 776 of the family's 1533-position model. The record is from RNAcentral.